GAUGAACGCUGGCGGCGUGCCUAAUACAUGCAAGUCGAGCGAAUGGAUUAAGAGCUUGCUCUUAUGGAGUUAGCGGCGGACGGGUGAGUAACACGUGGGUAACCCGCCCAUAAGACUGGGAUAACUCCGGGAAACCGGGGCUAAUACCGGAUAACAUUUUGAACCGCAUGGUUCGAAAUUGAAAGGCGGCUUCGGCUGUCACUUAUGGAUGGACCCGCGUCGCAUUAGCUAGUUGGUGAGGUAACGGCUCACCAAGGCAACGAUGCGUAGCCGACCUGAGAGGGUGAUCGGCCACACUGGGACUGAGACACGGCCCAGACUCCUACGGGAGGCAGCAGUAGGGAAUCUUCCGCAAUGGACGAAAGUCUGACGGAGCAACGCCGCGUGAGUGAUGAAGGCUUUCGGGUCGUAAAACUCUGUUGUUAGGGAAGAACAAGUGCUAGUUGAAUAAGCUGGCACCUUGACGGUACCUAACCAGAAAGCCACGGCUAACUACGUGCCAGCCGCCCAGUAA
This 514-nucleotide ribosomal RNA is filed under the name uncultured bacterium. RNAcentral's name for it is "partial 16S ribosomal RNA". It matches the Rfam family "Bacterial small subunit ribosomal RNA", at positions 28 to 523 of the family's 1533-position model. The record is from RNAcentral.